This 80-nucleotide transfer RNA is filed under the name Perkinsus marinus ATCC 50983. It matches the Rfam family "tRNA". Rfam says of the family: Transfer RNA (tRNA) molecules are approximately 80 nucleotides in length. Their secondary structure includes four short double-helical elements and three loops (D, anti-codon, and T loops). The record is from Rfam by way of RNAcentral. Lineage: Eukaryota; Perkinsozoa; Perkinsida; Perkinsidae.
GACAGUUUGGCCAAGUGGUCUAAGGCGCUGGCUUCAGGCGUCAGUGCGCAAUGGCGUGGGUUCGAAUCCCACAGCAGUUA